GACGAACGCUGGCGGCGUGCUUAACACAUGCAAGUCGAACGGAAAGGCCCUGCUCUUGUGGGGUGCUCGAGUGGCGAACGGGUGAGUAACACGUGAGUAACCUGCCCUUGACUUUGGGAUAACUUCAGGAAACUGGGGCUAAUACCGGGUAGGAGCUCCUGCUGCAUGGUGGGGGUUGGAAAGUUUCGGCGGUUGGGGAUGGACUCGCGGCUUAUCAGCUUGUUGGUGGGGUAGUGGCUUACCAAGGCUUUGACGGGUAGCCGGCCUGAGAGGGUGACCGGCCACAUUGGGACUGGGGUACGACCCAGACUCCUACGGGAGGCAGCAGUGGGGAAUAGUGCACAAUGGGCGGAAGCCUGAUGCAGCAACGCCGCGUGCGGGAUGACGGCCUUCGGGUUGUAACCCGCUUUCGCCUGUGACGAAGCGUGAGUGACGGUAAUGGGUAAAGAAGCACCGGCUAACUACGU
This 467-nucleotide ribosomal RNA is filed under the name uncultured bacterium. Its description in RNAcentral is "partial 16S ribosomal RNA". It matches the Rfam family "Bacterial small subunit ribosomal RNA", at positions 28 to 506 of the family's 1533-position model. The record is from RNAcentral.